RNAcentral lists this ribosomal RNA (818 nucleotides) under uncultured bacterium. Its description in RNAcentral is "bacterial SSU rRNA". It matches the Rfam family "Bacterial small subunit ribosomal RNA", at positions 8 to 795 of the family's 1533-position model. The record is from RNAcentral.
AGAGUUUGAUCCUGGCUCAGGACGAACGCUGGCGGCGUGCCUAAUACAUGCAAGUCGAACGAAACUUUCUUACACCGAAUGCUUGCAUUCACCGUAAGAAGUUGAGUGGCGGACGGGUGAGUAACACGUGGGUAACCUGCCUAAAAGAAGGGGAUAACACUUGGAAACAGGUGCUAAUACCGUAUAUCUCUAAGGAUCGCAUGAUCCUUAGAUGAAAGAUGGUUCUGCUAUCGCUUUUAGAUGGACCCGCGGCGUAUUAACUAGUUGGUGGGGUAACGGCCUACCAAGGUGAUGAUACGUAGCCGAACUGAGAGGUUGAUCGGCCACAUUGGGACUGAGACACGGCUCAAACUCCUACGGGAGGCAGCAGUAGGGAAUCUUCCACAAUGGACGCAAGUCUGAUGGAGCAACGCCGCGUGAGUGAAGAAGGUCUUCGGAUCGUAAAACUCUGUUGUUAGAGAAGAACACGAGUGAGAGUAACUGUUCAUUCGAUGACGGUAUCUAACCAGCAAGUCACGGCUAACUACGUGCCAGCAGCCGCGGUAAUACGUAGGUGGCAAGCGUUGUCCGGAUUUAUUGGGCGUAAAGGGAACGCAGGCGGUCUUUUAAGUCUGAUGUGAAAGCCUUCGGCUUAACCGGAGUAGUGCAUUGGAGACUGGAAGACUUGAGUGCAGAAGAGGAGAGUGGAACUCCAUGUGUAGCGGUGAAAUGCGUAGAUAUAUGGAAGAACACCAGUGGCGAAAGCGGCUCUCUGGUCUGUAACUGACGCUGAGGUUCGAAAGCGUGGGUAGCAAACAGGAUUAGAUACCCUGGUAGUC